GCACGUGAAAGGCCUUAGCCCAUAAGGGCUAUGGAAAGAAAAAGGAUUUUAAAAAAGGGUUUACACAAAGAAACAGGACAAGCGUCUCUUCAUGCACGAAAUACAGAAUCGUGAAAUAGAGCCUUGCUACUCAGUACUCACGCGGGCAAUAGGAAGUUCUAAGUUUCUUUACAAAUCACUAACUCUUGAGCUCAGGUAUAUAAAAUUCUCUAUUGUCAAUUAUUCUACAGUGGUAGUAGGUAAGAAUUGAAUAGUUAAUUCCCUUCUUUUUCCGUAUCAACAGUAAAUCCCAGGUUUAGGUGUGAAACUUUGAAAUUAAUUAAAAUGCACUGGUUGUUGUAGAAUCAAUUGUUUGACGGGUAUAAAUUGGAUUGGGGUCUACGUAUUGGCUCAAGGAGUAUUGAGGUGAGUUGAUAUAACCCUUUACUAAAGUGGCUUAACUCACAAAAGCGCGCAUACAAGAUGUUUGAUGAAUUGCUUAAAAGAGUUUAUAUUUACUUAAUUGGAACGAGUGAGUACCUAUUAACUUAGAAUUGUUCUAGCAAAAGUUUCGAUGAUUUAUUAUGAUAUAUAUGCAUAAAUUUUCAGAUUUUUGUGUUAUUCUUAUAUGUUAUUUUCAUGUUGAAAAUUUAUGAAGAAGCAAGAAUCUUUAGAAAUACUUUUAGAUGUUUAUUUCAUUCUUAUGUCAUACUUUUUAUUUAAGGAUACCAGCAUGAGCAUGUACAUGAUGUUCCAAAAAGAAAAGAUUUAGACUUGAAAAGUCACAAGAAGAAGUUUUAGAAAGAAAAGAUUUUUGGGAGUAUCCUUUAUUCUGAGAAGGGGUCAUCGCCCAGGCCGAGGAUCCUGAUCAAGGCGUUUGACUUCCUGAAACUACUUGUGCCAAAGUAGGGAGCACACGAGCCGAGGGUCUCGUUGCUGAGAAUUUACUUAGUCAUGCUAAGGUAUGAUACAUGAGCGCUGAGAACCAUGAAGCGAGUGGCACCUCGUGGAUUGGGCCUAUUCGAUCAGGUUAGGAUCGAACCUGUGCCGAUCACACGGUGACUGAGACAGAAUUAAGUCAAGAUAGUUGGAACUCCCAAAGUAUAAAGCGAAGUAUUUUUUUUUAAGAAAGAAAAAGAAAAUAAUUUCUUUUAGAAUAUUCAUAAACUGUUAUUAUGCAAUUAUUUUAGAAUUGUUCUUAUAAGCUUUAUGUUUUACAUGCAUUUAGAACCUUUGCCCGUAAUGUACAUGUUAUUAAAGUUUCGCCCCCUGUUGUUGAGACUCACUGAGUACAACGGAUGGUACUGAUGUUCUCUUUUGGGAACCUACGUUGGUUUGCGGUACAACGUAGGAACCGGAUUUGCAGGCGAGCAGGCUACGAGUUAAGACUUCCUUCUCUUCCAGUGCUAUUGGUGAGCUCCGCUUUUGUUCGUGGAGUAUUCCUUAGAGUUAUCUUUAUUUAGUUAUUUCUUUGUUUACUUAGAGAACUGGCCAGGAAAUCUCAUGUCCUGAGUAGUGCGUCAGUUUAUCAGUAGAG
Molecule: long non-coding RNA, 1516 nt
Filed under: Nicotiana tabacum (common tobacco)
Lineage: Eukaryota; Viridiplantae; Streptophyta; Magnoliopsida; Solanales; Solanaceae
Description: long non-coding RNA (NTAB_LNC000495)
Source: RNAcentral